This 479-nucleotide long non-coding RNA is filed under the name Chrysolophus pictus (golden pheasant). Its description in RNAcentral is "lncRNA (ENSCPIG00010002681.1)". Lineage: Eukaryota; Metazoa; Chordata; Aves; Galliformes; Phasianidae. The record is from RNAcentral.
CGGCGGCACUUCCCGGCGGCGGACACCGUGCAAGCGGCGCGUUACAGCCCCGGGAGUCCCGCAGCGCUGCGGGAGUGCCGCACCGCCGCCUGCCGAGCUCUGCGGGCCGCCCUGCAGCACCCCGCAGAGGAGGGAAAAGAGAGAGAGAGGUGGAGGCUGCCUGCCUUCCUGCAGUGCAUCUCUUGGAGCCGGAGGAGCCAGAGAAAAGGCCACGUGUCAAAAGCUGCCAACAAUGUUCAUGAAGACAACCUGCAGGACUCCCAAGAGGUGGCUCUGACCAGUCUGUCUCCCAAUGGUAACUACGAAGAUGCUGCUGGAGGUGUGGGCACCUAAAGCUGUGGGUGCCUGAUGUAAUCCCUGUCCCAGUCCUGCCUGGGUGGUGUGGAGCAGUGGAAGGAGGAGCUGUGCCCACUCACCCUCAGAGAGCCCACAGAUUUCACCAAGGUCUUCUGUGGCUGCCAACAGCCUCUGAGCUCCAU